UUCAAACACUAAUUCCCGUACGAUCACCAAAGUUAAGCAACGUCAAGCCUGGCUAGUACAUAGAUGGGUGACCGCUUUGGAAUACGAGGCGCUGUAAU
RNAcentral lists this ribosomal RNA (98 nucleotides) under Acanthosepion pharaonis. The record is from RNAcentral. Lineage: Eukaryota; Metazoa; Mollusca; Cephalopoda; Sepiida; Sepiidae.